This 28-nucleotide non-coding RNA is filed under the name Homo sapiens (human). Lineage: Eukaryota; Metazoa; Chordata; Mammalia; Primates; Hominidae. The record is from RNAcentral.
CCCUUAGUAUAACCGCCAUGGAAGCAGA